AACGUAGGAGGCAAGCGUUAUCCGGAGUUACUGGGCGUAAAGCGUAUGUAGGCGGUUGGGCAAGUGGCGUGUGAAAGCUCCCGGCUAAACUGGGAGACGACGGGUCAGACUGCCGAACUCGAGUCCGAUAGAGGGGCGUAGAAUUCCGGGUGUAGCGGUGAAAUGUGUAGAGAUCCGGAGGAAUACCAGUGGCGCAAGCGGCGCCCUGGGUCGGUACUGACGCUGAGAUACGAAAGCGUGGGGAGCGAACGGG
This 253-nucleotide ribosomal RNA is filed under the name uncultured bacterium. RNAcentral's name for it is "partial 16S ribosomal RNA". It matches the Rfam family "Bacterial small subunit ribosomal RNA", at positions 524 to 776 of the family's 1533-position model. The record is from RNAcentral.